RNAcentral lists this non-coding RNA (154 nucleotides) under Methylomonas lenta. Its description in RNAcentral is "c-di-GMP sequence". It matches the Rfam family "c-di-GMP-I riboswitch aptamer". From Rfam's summary of the family: GEMM was predicted in a large-scale screen for bacterial structured RNA regulatory elements. The record is from RNAcentral. Lineage: Bacteria; Pseudomonadati; Pseudomonadota; Gammaproteobacteria; Methylococcales; Methylococcaceae.
GCGUGAAAAAGCCAAACUCGUCGUGAGGCGGGGACGGAAAGUCUCGGGUCUUGAAUCAGUCGUUAUGCUCAGUUGUGAGUAGCCUGGAAUCGGGCUUGCCGCCUAAGGGCGGCAAUGACAAGGAUUGCGGUUUCAAGAUGGCUGGGCCAUCACC